AAUCUUGCGCAAUGGGCGAAAGCCUGACGCAGCCAUGCCGCGUGAAUGAUGAAGGUCUUAGGAUUGUAAAAUUCUUUCACCGGGGACGAUAAUGACGGUACCCGGAGAAGAAGCCCCGGCUAACUUCGUGCCAGCAGCCGCGGUAAUACGAAGGGGGCUAGCGUUGCUCGGAAUUACUGGGCGUAAAGGGCGCGUAGGCGGAUCGUUAAGGCAAAGGUGGAAUCCCAGGGCUCAACCCUGGAACUGCCUUUGGUACUGGCGAUCUUGGAUAUGGAAGGGGUAUGUGGAACUCCGGGUGUAGAGGUGAAAUUCGUAGAUAUUCGGAAGAACACCAGUGGCGAAGGCGACAUACUGGCUCAUUACUGACGCUGAGGCGCGAAAGCGUGGGGAGCAAACAG
Molecule: ribosomal RNA, 398 nt
Filed under: uncultured bacterium
Lineage: Bacteria
Description: partial 16S ribosomal RNA
Rfam family: Bacterial small subunit ribosomal RNA
Source: RNAcentral